Molecule: ribosomal RNA, 400 nt
Filed under: uncultured bacterium
Lineage: Bacteria
Description: bacterial SSU rRNA
Rfam family: Bacterial small subunit ribosomal RNA
Source: RNAcentral
UGGGGAAUAUUGGACAAUGGGCGCAAGCCUGAUCCAGCAAUGCCGCGUGGGUGAAGAAGGUCUUCGGAUUGUAAAGCCCUUUCGGCGGGGACGAUGAUGACGGUACCCGCAGAAGAAGCCCCGGCUAACUUCGUGCCAGCAGCCGCGGUAAUACGAAGGGGGCUAGCGUUGCUCGGAAUUACUGGGCGUAAAGGGCGCGUAGGCGGCCUUGUAAGUCAGGCGUGAAAUUCCUGGGCUCAACCUGGGGGCUGCGCUUGAGACUGCGAGGCUUGAGGACGGAAGAGGCUCGUGGAAUUCCCAGUGUAGAGGUGAAAUUCGUAGAUAUUGGGAAGAACACCGGUGGCGAAGGCGGCGAGCUGGUCCGUUACUGACGCUGAGGCGCGACAGCGUGGGGAGCAAA